RNAcentral lists this ribosomal RNA (177 nucleotides) under uncultured Chloroflexota bacterium. Its description in RNAcentral is "uncultured Chloroflexi bacterium partial 16S ribosomal RNA". It matches the Rfam family "Bacterial small subunit ribosomal RNA", at positions 333 to 524 of the family's 1533-position model. Lineage: Bacteria; Bacillati; Chloroflexota. The record is from RNAcentral.
CGAUUCCUACGGGAGGCAGCAGUGGGGAAUAUUGCGCAAUGGGCGAAAGCCUGACGGAGCAACGCCGCGUGGGUGAUGAAGUCUCUCGGGAUGUAAAACCCUUUCAGCUGGGAAGAACUCAAUGACGGUACCAGCAGAAGAAGCAUCGGCUAACUACGUGCCAGCAGCCGCGGUAAU